Molecule: long non-coding RNA, 525 nt
Filed under: Physcomitrium patens
Lineage: Eukaryota; Viridiplantae; Streptophyta; Bryopsida; Funariales; Funariaceae
Description: long non-coding RNA (PPAT_LNC010047)
Source: RNAcentral
ACAGAAAUCAUACUUGAAUUCUAACCAAAUCCUAACAUAAUUCUUAAUAAAUUCUAAUAAAAUCUUAAAUCAAUCCAUACAAAAUCUUAAAUAAAAUUCUAAUAAAAUCCUAAAUCAAUUUUAAUCAAGCUCUAAAGAAAUCUUAGACCAAAAUCUUUCAAAUUCUAAUCAAAUCAUAAAUCCUAAUUCUAAUGAAAUCCUAAUGAAAUUCUAAAUCUUAGACUAAACUUAAUCAAAUCUUAAAUUAUAAAUUCAAUCCUAAUCAAAUUCUAAUAAAAUCUUAAUUUAAUCCUAAUCAAAAUUUAAUCAAAUCUUAGACCAAAUCCUAGAUCAAAUCCUAAUCAAAUCCUAAAUCCUAAUUCUAGACUAAAUCCUAAUUAAAUCCUAAAUCCUAAUCUUAGACUAAAUCCUAAUUAAAUCUUAAAUUCCAAUCUUAAACCAAAUCCUAAUAAAAUCCAAAAUCAUAAUUUUAAAUUAAAUCUUAGUGAAAUCUUAAAUCCUAGACCAAAUCUAAUCAAAUCCUAA